UGGGGAAUAUUGGACAAUGGGCGCAAGCCUGAUCCAGCCAUGCCGCGUGUGUGAAGAAGGCCUUCGGGUUGUAAAGCACUUUUGUUGGGAAAGAAAAGCGGUCGGUUAAUACCCGGUCGUUCUGACGGUACCCAAAGAAUAAGCACCGGCUAACUUCGUGCCAGCAGCCGCGGUAAUACGAAGGGUGCAAGCGUUACUCGGAAUUACUGGGCGUAAAGCGUGCGUAGGUGGUUUGUUAAGUCAGAUGUGAAAGCCCCGGGCUCAACCUGGGAAUUGCAUUUGAUACUGGCAGACUAGAGUGCGGUAGAGGAGAGUGGAAUUCCCGGUGUAGCAGUGAAAUGCGUAGAGAUCGGGAGGAACAUCAGUUGCGAAGGCGGCUCUCUGG
This 385-nucleotide ribosomal RNA is filed under the name uncultured bacterium. Its description in RNAcentral is "bacterial SSU rRNA". It matches the Rfam family "Bacterial small subunit ribosomal RNA", at positions 355 to 732 of the family's 1533-position model. The record is from RNAcentral.